GGAGGGGUGGCCGAGUGGUUGAAGGCGGCGGUCUUGAAAACCGUUGAUCCGCAAGGAUCCGGGGGUUCGAAUCCCUCCCCCUCCGCCA
RNAcentral lists this transfer RNA (88 nucleotides) under Candidatus Sumerlaeota bacterium. RNAcentral's name for it is "tRNA-Ser". It matches the Rfam family "tRNA". From Rfam's summary of the family: Transfer RNA (tRNA) molecules are approximately 80 nucleotides in length. Their secondary structure includes four short double-helical elements and three loops (D, anti-codon, and T loops). Lineage: Bacteria; Candidatus Sumerlaeota. The record is from RNAcentral.